AGUAAGCCGAACAGUCGCGCUUGUUAUGCAAGUGAGGAAAGUCCGGGCUUCACAGGGCAGGGCGCCGGUUAACGGCCGGCGGAGGCGACUCCAGGGAUAGUGCAACAGAAAUAAACCGCCCGCUUUCGCGGGUAAGGGUGGAAAGGUAAGGUAAGAGCUUACCGCUGUUCCGGCAACGGGACAGGCUCUGUAAACCCCGCCUGAAGCAAGGCCCGAGUAAAACCAUGGGAUUGCCCGUCCCGUUUUGACGCGGCCGCAUGAUGACAUUGGCGACAAUGUACCAAGAUAGAUGACUGUUUAAGACAGAACCCGGCUCAUAGACUUGCUCA
RNAcentral lists this RNase P RNA (329 nucleotides) under Candidatus Metalachnospira gallinarum. RNAcentral's name for it is "Bacterial RNase P class A". It matches the Rfam family "Bacterial RNase P class A". Rfam says of the family: Ribonuclease P (RNase P) is a ubiquitous endoribonuclease, found in archaea, bacteria and eukarya as well as chloroplasts and mitochondria. The record is from RNAcentral. Lineage: Bacteria; Bacillati; Bacillota; Clostridia. RNAcentral also lists the same sequence under 1 other name.